This 254-nucleotide ribosomal RNA is filed under the name uncultured bacterium. RNAcentral's name for it is "partial 16S ribosomal RNA". It matches the Rfam family "Bacterial small subunit ribosomal RNA", at positions 524 to 776 of the family's 1533-position model. The record is from RNAcentral.
GACGGAGGGGGCAAGCGUUGUUCGGAAUUAUUGGGCGUAAAGGGCUCGUAGGCGGACCGGUGUGUCUGGCGUGAAAUCUCCACUGCUUAACAGGGAGGGGCCGCUGGAAACUGCCGAUCUUGAGUAUGGUAGAGGACCAUGGAAUUUCGGGUGUAGCGGUGGAAUGCGUAGAUAUCCGAAAGAGCACCGGUGGCGAAGGCGGUGGUCUGGACCAAAACUGACGCUGAGGAGCGAAAGCCAGGGGAGCAAACGGG